Pecten maximus is the source of this 959-nucleotide long non-coding RNA. RefSeq lists it as uncharacterized. The record is from RefSeq and is a predicted model, not a curated record. The transcript is spliced from 4 exons. Lineage: Eukaryota; Metazoa; Mollusca; Bivalvia; Pectinida; Pectinidae.
UGUAGCUGUCUGACUGUAAAGUCCAAUACCCGGUAUUAAAUUUCUUGUUAUAUGACCUCAGACCUUGACAUUUCUCAGGGCCUUUGACCCUUUGAUUUAUUUUGAGGUAUUAAAAGUUUAUGUCCACAAACUUAGCAAAAAGUCUUGAGAGAUUAUGUAAUAAUUAAUCUUUUUAAAAUUGUAGCAUGAAGAGAUUGCGGACGCGUUGCCAGAGAAUGGCUUCAAAGAAAAAUGGAUACUCCGUGAUUUCAGAAAGAAAUUUAUGCAGACAAAGGGCGAGGUGUAAAAACAAUCAAUAAAAGGCGGCAUGGCGACCUCCUUCUCCCUUACCAUGAAUCUAUGAUUUCAAAAGAAAAAUGGGACAGAGGGGAAUAGCAAAGAAGCUCUGGAUUUAGUCGGGGUUUUUUUUGACUGAAGGAAACAGUUCUGUGUGGAUGCAACCGAAGAAAAUGAAUUAUUGGGAGACUGGUAAACCUGGUGAUGUAUGGCAAGCAUUCCAAGCAAAACAUGAAAUGUGUUGAUGGCCACCUAUGUCACUUUUCAACAAGGCUAAAUAUGGAGGGCAAGGCUACAGCGCAAGUCCUUUGUCAGAAGGUCAUGGACAAUUCAGGAAAAGGCUGCAGUACAACAGCAACUAGGGAAACAUCUUUUGCUGAAAAUGUUACCAGGGAAGGCUAAUUGUUAAGAGGUCCUCCGAAAAGAACCAGUGUUGCAUGGCAGAACCUGGAAACAAACUAAGGACCUCAUCUGGAACUGUAAUAUAAGAAGACAGUCAAGGAGAAUUUGCUUGUAUCAGAUCAGGCUGUUAGUGAGACUAUAUGAUAUUGCUGCCUAUUGAUUGUGUGUAUCCAAUAUGGUUGUCAGUUGACUGUAUAUCAGAUGUGACUAUCAGUUGACUGUGUGUAUCAGAUAUGGCUGUCAGUUGAGAAUGUGUAUCAUAUAUGGCUGUCAGUUGAUAG